Molecule: long non-coding RNA, 32117 nt
Filed under: Triticum aestivum (bread wheat)
Lineage: Eukaryota; Viridiplantae; Streptophyta; Magnoliopsida; Poales; Poaceae
Description: long non-coding RNA (TAES_LNC005823)
Source: RNAcentral
UCACCGAUCGGUCUGGCCGUGGUUAUGUGCCGCCGUGCCGGCCCGGAUGCUCAAAAGAUGCUAGCUGUGUGCACAUCUGAACUACGCAGUGUAUACAAGUCCGAAAACUAUCGGCGGUGUAUACAUACUACAAGCUCACGAGUUGCUCUUUGAUUGGGUUUGCUUCUUCUGUUUUUCUCUUCCUACAUAUCUCGCUUGUAUAUUAGCUAGGAUGAGACCUCAAUCAAUCGAUCAUGGAAAUGUGUCAACAUUUAAUUAGCAUUUCGCUUGCUUCUAAACCCUCAACUAUUACUGCUCUAGAGCUGUGUCCCUUUUUCCUUCAAAACUGAGACGGUGUCUCUAGAUUUUGCAUCGAUCUAUUGAUGCGCAAGACAAUGGGUUACGUGCUUGGUUUGUUCCACAUUCUUCAAUACCUAUAUUUUGUUGUGGUUUGUUCCACAUUGGUCAAUACCAAGGCCAUUUGUUGAUUGAUGCACACGACAAUGUUGUAAUUUUGUUGUUUUAAUAAACCAAGCACGUGAGCCAUCAAUCAAUUUUGCUUGGUUUGUACUUUGGUUUUGAGUAUGAAAAAUUACAGCGUGUGUAACAUAAUAUAAUUUUACUUCUAUUUUUGCACUGAUCACAAUUGGCCAUUUUGAAUAAUAAUUAUUUACAUGCAUAUAGUUGGCACUAUAAGGACACAACUAUUCGCAGCUUGAGCUCAAAUGAGCCUUCAUGAACAGCUUGAGUUCUUUUGAAUUUUUUUUUUCAAAUUUACUGUUCGCCCGAGGUCAGCUCGGGAGCAAAAGGACACUUUCGGCACUAUAAGGGCUUGUUUGGUGCAUGGGGAAAAGACAAUGGGAUCCCUGGGGGGGUAACUCUCCCGGGUUAAAUUGGUUGUGCAUUUGGCUUACGAGGUAAGAGGGAAAUCUCAUGCCACCCCGUCUACUCCCUUGGCGAAAAUAAACCAGUCCCAAUUUGAGGUAAUUCCUCAUUGCACUUGCGGAAGGUCUGGUGGAGCGUUGCGCCGCGCCUCACACUUCUCCAUUAGGUCGUCAUGCCUGUUGUGGUGCCCCUCCAUGGCAUCCCACACGGCAGCUGCAUCGAGGAGUAGGCGACCAUCUUGAUCACCAUGACACUAAUGAGAUCGCAACUGUCCUUGUCGGCCAAGCCCAAGCGUGCAAGCUCAAGGUAGCCUUCACGGCUCAGUUGUUUCCCUCUCGAUAUGGGAGAACCCAUUGGAGCUGAUCUAGCUUGUCGAUUGUGGAGAGUUUUUUUUAAAGCGUAUAGAUCAAGAAAUACAGUCUUUGCCAUGUUGUUCGAUCAUUCUUAGAGCAUCGAAAUUUCUCUAACAGCCUGUGUGGUAGUUUGAGGGAAAGGGAAUGGGAAUUAAUAGGGAGGAGUUUGUAGAAGGAUAGACUUGGGAAGUGGACUAUUUGUUCCGAUCCCACGUUUAGUGCGUGUAGGGAAUUGCUUGUGGGAAUUGGACAAGAAAUUAGUCUCCUAAAAAAUAAAUUAGAUCUAAGCAACAAGAGAGAAGGGGGAAAACAUGUGUAACGAACAUAUUCCUUUUAUUUUCUUUGUCAACUCCCGUUCCCGGUAUGAAUUGCCAGGGCCCUCCUAACGUAUUUGGCAACUUCAGAUUAAGGGAAUGGAAUUUACAGCGCAUUUGGUUGGGGGUAAUUAGAUCUAGGGAAUGAGAAUUGAAGGGGUGUGAGUCUUCAAAUCUAUUGUUUGGUUGGGGGAUUGGGAAUUCAGAAGUGAAUAGGCAUGGGACUUUAAUUAGACUCCAACUCCACCGUUUUAUUAAGAGGAGAGGGUGGGAAUUGGAAGGGAAUUGUUUUAAUGAGUUGAUCUUAACCCUUCAUCAUAACUUACGUUAACUUCCCAUGUCUAGGCCCUUGCCAAUUUUCAUGAACCAAACAAGGGAAUACAGUUUCUCCUCAAAUCUCACAUGUAAAUCCUGUUAUGUGCCAAACAAAUGAUUGGGAAUAAAACAUCUCAUCCCAUGUCUAAUCUCAAUACAACUUCCUACUCUAAACUCCCAUUCCCCUUCCCAAAUAUUACCAAACACGGAAUUUAUUAAAGGAUUAGGCUUGGAAAGUUGAUUAUUAACCCCAAUCCCCUGUUUGGUAUGUGAUGAGGAAUUGCUAGUGGGGGUUUGACUGGAAGUUAUCUUCCCAGGUUUGGUUCGUAGGUUUUGACGUGGGCAGAAACACAAAACUACACUACGGUGGAAUGUGGGCAACGAACUCCCUAUCCCUUAUUUGAAUUACCUGUGUCCUUCUAGGAAGAAAACUGUGGGAGUUUGACAUACGAACUCCCUUUCCCCUUCCUACCUGAAAUCCCAUGUCCUCCAACCAAUCAACGGAUGGUAAGUCUAACCUCGCCUAAACUCCCAUUCCCAGCCUCCAACUUGAAGGAAAUAUGCCCUAAAGGCAAUAAUAAAGUUGUUAUUUAUAUUUUCUUAUAUCAUGAUAAAUGUUUAUUAUUCAUGCUAGAAUUGUAUUAACCGAAAACUUAGUACAUGUGUGAAUACAUAGACAAACAGAGUGUCUCUAGUAUCGGAAAGGUAUCUCUGGGUCCUCUCGGUAAUGCACAUCACUAUGAGCCUUGCAAGCAAUGUGUCACUGUGUAUCGGAAAGGUAUCUCUGGGUCCUCUCGGUAAUGCACAUCACUUGAGUUGGCAUAGAUCAAGAUUAGGAUUUGUCACUGUGUAUCGGAAAGGUAUCUCUGGGUCCUCUCAGUAAUGCACAUCACUAUGAGCCUUGCAAGCAAUGUGUAUAAUGAGUUAGCCAUGGGAUGAUGCAUUACGGAACGAGUAAAGAGACUUGCCGGUGACGAGAUUGAAAUAGGUAUGAUGAUACCGACGAUCGAAUCUCGGGCAAGUAACAUACCGAUGACAAAGGGAACAACGUAUGUUGUUAUGCGGUUUGACUGAUAAAGAUCUUCGUAGACUAUGUAGGAGCCAAUAUGAGCAUCCAGGUUCUGCUAUUUGUUAUUGACCGGAGAUGUGUCUCGGUCAUGUCUACAUAGUUCUCGAACCCGUAGGGUCCGCAUGCUUAAUGUUCGAUGACGAUUUGUAUUAUGAGUUUUGUGUUUUGAUGAACUGAAGUUUGUUCGGAGUCCCGAAUGAGAAGACGGACAUGACGAGGAGUCUCGAAAUGGUCGAGAGGUAAGGUUUCAUAUAUUGGAAGGUAGUAUUCGGACAUCGGAAUGGUUCCAAGUGAUUCGGGUUUUUUUCGGAGUACCGAGGGGUUACCGGAACCCGCCUGGGAAGUGUUGGGCCUACAUGGGCNNNNNNNNNNNNNNNNNNNNNNNNNNNNNNNNNNNNNNNNNNNNNNNNNNNNNNNNNNNNNNNNNNNNNNNNNNNNNNNNNNNNNNNNNNNNNNNNNNNNNNNNNNNNNNNNNNNNNNNNNNNNNNNNNNNNNNNNNNNNNNNNNNNNNNNNNNNNNNNNNNNNNNNNNNNNNNNNNNNNNNNNNNNNNNNNNNNNNNNNNNNNNNNNNNNNNNNNNNNNNNNNNNNNNNNNNNNNNNNNNNNNNNNNNNNNNNNNNNNNNNNNNNNNNNNNNNNNNNNNNNNNNNNNNNNNNNNNNNNNNNNNNNNNNNNNNNNNNNNNNNNNNNNNNNNNNNNNNNNNNNNNNNNNNNNNNNNNNNNNNNNNNNNNNNNNNNNNNNNNNNNNNNNNNNNNNNNNNNNNNNNNNUAGGACAAGGAGGAGGGGGCGCGGUCCUCCUUUCGUCUCCCUCUCCCUCUCCUUUGGGCGAAUCCUACUAGGAGUGGUGUCCUAGUAGGACUGCCCCCCAUGGCGCGCCCCCUCCUGGCCGGCCGCCUCCUCCUCCCCUCCUUUAUAUACGGGGGCUGGAGGCACCCCAAAGGGACAUCAAUUGUUCUCUUAGCCAUGUGCGGUGCCCCCUCCACAGUUUACUCCUCCGGUUAUAGCAUCGUAGUGCUUAGGCGAAGCCCUGCGCGGAUCACAUCACCAUCACCGUCACCACGCUGUCGUGCUGACAGAACUCUCCCUCAACCCUCUGCUGGAGCAAGAGUUCAAGGGACGUCAUCGAGCUGAACGUGUGUUGAACACGGAGGUGCCGUACGUUCGGUACUUGGUCGGUUGGAUCGCGAAGACGUUUGACUACAUCAACCGCGUUAACCUAACGCUUCCGCUUUCGAUCUAUGAGGGUACGUGGACACACUCUCCCCUCUCGUUGCUAUGCAUCUCCUAGAUAGAUCUUGUGUGAUCGUAGGAAGUUUUUUGAAAUUGCAUGCUACGUUCCCCAACAGUGGCAUCGGAGCCAGGUCUAUGCGUAAAUAAUAUGCACGAGUAGAACACAAUGAGUUGUGGGCGAUAAUAGUCAUACUGUUUACCACCAACAUCUUAUUUUGAUUCGGCGGUAUUGUUGGAUGAAGUGGCCCAGACCAACAUUACAUGACCACGUUCAUGAGACCGGUUCUACCGACGUGCUUUGCACACUGGUGGCUGGCGGGUGUCUGUUGCUCCAACUUUAGUUCAAUCAUUUGAUUACGGCCGGUCCUUGUUGAAGGUUAAAACAACACACUUGACAAAAAAUUGUUGUGGUUUUGAUGCGUAGGUAAGAACAGUUCUUGCUAGAAGCUCAUAGCCGCCACGUAAAACUUGCAACAACAAAGUAGAGGACGUCUAACUUGUUUUUGCAGGGCAUUUUGUGAUGUGAUAUGGUCAAGACGUGAUGAGAUAUAAAUUGUUGUAUGAGAUGAUCAUGUUUUGUAAAAGUUAUCGGCAACUGGCAGGAGCCUUAUGGUUGUCGCUUUAUUGUAUGAAAUGCAAUCGCCAUGUAAUUGCUUUACUUUAUCACUAAGUCGUAGCGAUAGUCGUAGAAGCAAUAGUUGGCGAGACGACAACGAUGCUACGAUGGAGAUCAAGGUGUCAAGCCAGUGACAAUGGAGAUCAUGACGGUGCUUUGAAGAUGGAGAUCAAAGGCCCAAAAUGAUGAUGGCCAUAUCAUGUCACAUAUUUUGAUUGCAUGUGAUGUUUAUCUUUUAUGCAUCUUAUUUUGCUUAGUACGGCGGUAGCAUUAUAAGAUGAUCCCUCACUAAAUUUCAAGGUAUAAGUGUUCUCCCUGACUAUGCACCGUUGCUACAGUUCGUCGUGUCGAGACACCACGUGAUGAUCGGGUGUGAUAAGCUCUACGUUCACAUAAACGGGUGCAAGCCAGUUUUGCACGUGCAGAAUACUUUGGUUAAACUUGACGACCCUAGCAUAUGUAGAUAUGGCCUCGGAACACUGAGACUGAAAGGUCGAACGUGAAUCAUAUAGUAGAUAUGAUCAACAUAGUGAUGUUCACCAUUGAAAACUACUCCAUCUCACGUGAUGAUCGGACAUGGUUUAGUUGAUAUGGAUCACGUGAUCAUUUAGAUGAUUAGAGGGAUGUAUAUCUAAGUGGGAGUUCUUAAGUAAUAUGAUUAAUUGAACUUUAAUUUAUCAUGAACUUAGUCCUGCAAGUUUUUUGCAUAUCUAUGCUGCUGUAGAUCAAUGGCCCGUGCUACCGUUCCCUUGAAUUUUAAUGCAUUCCUAGACAAAGCUAAGUUCAAAGAUGAUGGUAGCAACUACACGGACUAGGUCCGUAACUUGAGGAUUAUCCUCAUUGCUGCACAAAAGAAUUACGUCCUGGAAGCACCGCUAGGUGCAAGACCCGCUGCAGGAGCAACUCCGGAAGUUAUGAACGUCUGGCAGACUAAAGCUAAUGACUACUCGAUAGUUCAGUGUGCCAUGCUUUACGACUUAGAAUCAGGACUUCAAAGACGUUUUGAACGUCAUGGAGCAUAUGGGAUGUUCCAGGAGUUGAAGUUUAUAUUUCAAGCAAAUGCCCGAGUUGAGAGAUAUGAAGUCUCCAACAAGUUCUAUAGCCGCAAGAUGAAGGAGAACAGUGAUGAAGACAUGUACCUAGGGUAGGGACACGGACCUGACCAAAGAGUCCUACCCUAGGACACCCCUAGAAUAAGUCACCUUUCAAUCGACUUGAAGGUAUCCCACUUGACGGGUUCAAGACACUCGACCAAGAAGCUAUCACUCGACCAUGAAGCCAACCACUCGACUGCCAGGAGACCUAAAGUCACUCCGCAGGCAAACGGUUGGCUGUUAAGUAGUCUUUAUGAUCAUUAUAGCACUUUAUUAGGGGCGUUACCAGUAACGCCCAACCUUAAAUGUACCUUAAACCCUGCAUUACUGAGGGCAGGAGGGGGCCGGCGAACUCUAUAUAAGCCACCCCCUCCUCAGUAUGGAGGGUUCGCACCCCUGUAAUCCAUACACGCAUAAUCCAGUCGACCGCCUUCGGGCUCCGAGAUGUAGGGCUAUUACUUCCUCUGAGAAGGGCCUGAACUCGUAAACCUUGUGUGUAACAACUUCCCAAUAGCUAAGAUCUAGCCUCUCCAUAUUCACCCCCUACAUCACUGUCAGAGUUAGAACCACGACAGUUGGCGCCCACCGUGGGGCAGGAAUCUUAGCGCCUGAUUGGAGAAGUUGCGAUUCUUCCGAUCCCUUUGAUCAUGUUUUCUUGUAGAGUUUUGGUGGGGGACCGCGAGAUCCGUCUCGGCGCACUCACCUUCAUCGUCGAUGACUCCGCCUGGCUUCAGGAGGCACCACUCGACAUCGACGCGCUCCCCGUUCGCGGUGCGACGCACUUCCGCGCAUGCAUUCGUGGCGUCCUCCUGCGGCAUCCAUCGACCCAGUAUCGGUCGGCCCCUGCGUCAUCUCCCCGCCCUGUCUCCCACCAGCGCAAGCACUCCGGUCGGUCAAGACUUCAGCGGUGGGUGAGGCAUGCGUGGCCCGCUAGUCGGCAGCCCCACAAGUCGCGGCAAUCAAGCCCGUCGAAUCCCUCUACGGCCUGUUCGACCUGUCGACUGGUUCCGUGGAGACCGCAUCCGAGUGCGACAGCAGCGACCCAGCGGCUGAGGUUCUGGCGGUCGAUGGAACACACAGUCCCCCCGGUUUCCCUCACGCUGAUGGAGGCGCGGGUGGGGGCGAUCUGUCGCAUCCCCACGAUGAGUAUCUCCCCGAACCUCUCACAUCAUCACAGCGAGAGGAGCUUCGCCGCCGGAACACAGACGCCCUCCGCACCCCUAUCGUCGGAGAGUCCCCCGAGGCCCGGGCCUUGGAGGACGCGCGUUUGGCUAAUUUGGCCGAGCGCACUCGAUUGGAGAAUCUCCAGCGAGCACUCGACGAGCGAGCGCGUCAGCAGGCUCCCGAGUCUAGUCGACGCCAGCUCUUCCCGCCGACGCAGGUAUAUCAAACCCCAGUUCAGAAUUUGGCCGCUGCGGCCCGUAUAGCAGAAUCAAUUCAGCCCUCCCAGUCAGAGGCUGGCAGGGGCUUGUUACAGAUCAGAGCGUUGCUCCGGGCGGCGGGAAACCAGAAUUCCGCUGUCUCUCAGUCGCGGAAUAGGAUCCACAGUCGAUAUGUCGCAACAGAUACAAUCGAGUCGGCUCACAGCCCGAGAUCGCCCCCGAGGCGUGAGGGACGUGGUGACCGGCAUGAUCAGUAUAGGAGGAAUGAGCAGUAUGAUCACCGAUUCGACCGCGAUGAUCGACGUCGAGUGCCAACCCCUCCCCCGAGGAGUGGGUCGUAUGCGCCUCGACGGCAAGAUGAUAGACGCCCUCAUAAUGUUGGGCAGAGGAUUCUAGUCGACCCCAGAGACCCAGGCUUUGAUGCGAGAUCGAUCCUCGUUCAAGGUUUGGUUGACAGGAACAGAGCUCAUCGAGAAGGCCGCAACAGAGAUGCGCCUGCCAGCAGCAGAGUACAUGCUUCAGGGCCAGAGUGUUUCAGUCGAGCCAUCAGAGCCGCAGUGAUUCCUCCCAAUUUCAGGCUAGCGACUGGAAUCAACAAGUUCACCGGUGAAUCUAAGCCUGACACUUGGCUCGAAGAUUACCGAGUGGCUGUACAGAUUGGCGGUGGCAAUGAUGAGGUGGCCAUGAAGCAUUUACCUCUCAUGUUAGAGGGCUCAGCCAGAGCGUGGCUAAAUCAGUUGGCACCCAACAGCAUAUACACUUGGGAGGACCUCUCCCGAGUGUUUAUCACAACCUUUGAAGGAACAUGCAAGCGACCUGCAGGCCUUACAGAGUUGCGGUCUUGCGUGCAGAAGCCGAAUGAAACUUUGAGGGAAUACAUCCAGAGGUGGAUCACACUGCAUCACUCGGUUGAGAAUGUGCCAGAUCAUCAAGCAGUUUGUGCCUUCAAGGAAGGUGUUAAAUACAGAGAGUUGAAUCUGAAGUUCGGUCGAACUGGAGAGAUGUCUCUGAAUCGGAUGAUGGAGAUUGCCACCAAGUACGCUAACGGAGAAGAUGAAGAUCGACUCCGGAGUGGCAAGCAGAAAGCAGUCGCCCAGGAAACCGGAGGCAAUUCUGGUCGGAAGCAGAAGCGGAAGGCCGAGCCCGCUGCCCCUGGGGAGGCCCUGGCCGUAGCCCAGGGAAACUUCAAGGGAAAAUCCAAGGGCACCUGGAAGCCCAAGAAAAUCAAGGAUCAGGAUGGAAACGAUGUUUUGGACCUGCCGUGUCACAUCCACACCAAGAAAGAUGAAGAGGGCAAUUUUAUUUACCCAAAACAUACCACUCGACAGUGUCGGCUCCUAAUCCAGCAGUUUCAAGGCAAGCGGUCCAAGGACAAGGAAAAAGAGUCAGAUAGAGUUGAGGACAAGGAAGACAGUGACGAUGGAUACCCCCAAGUCAAUUCCACCCUGAUGAUUUUUGCCGAUGUCGAAAGCAAAAGUCGACUGAAAGUCAUUAACCGAGAGGUGAACAUGGUUGCCCCGGCAACACCCAGUUACCUGAAGUGGUCUCAGACUGCCAUCACAUUCGACCAGUCUGAUCACCCGACGCACAUUGCCACCCCUGGGAGGCAAGCUUUGGUGGUCGACCCAAUUGUUGAAGGCACUCGGCUGACUAAAGUCCUGAUGGAUGGUGGCAGUGGCCUGAACAUACUGUAUGCUGAAACAUUGAAAGGAAUGGGCAUUCCGAUGUCCAGGCUUAGUACCAGUAACAUGAAUUUCCACGGAGUCAUUCCGGGGAAGAAAGCCCAAUCACUCGGCCAGAUCGCUCUUGGUGUGGUUUUCGGUGAUUCAAAGAAUUACCGCAAGGAAAAGUUGACAUUCGAGGUUGUGGACUUCCAAAGUGCUUAUCACGCCAUUUUGGGCAGGCCAGCUUACGCACGCUUCAUGGCCCGACCAUGUUACGUGUAUCUCAAACUGAAGAUGCCUGGCUCCAAAGGUGUGAUCACUGUUACGGGCUAUCGGAAGAAGGCGGAAGAGUGCUUCCAGAAGGGCUCAAAGAUUGCAGAUGCUCAGACGGCAGUGGUCGAGCUGCAAGAGUACCAAAAGACUGCCGAUCCAAGCGAGUUGCUACGAGCCAAGAAGCCUGCUUCAGAAUCAGCUUUUCAGUCGUCCGGUGAAACAAAGACAAUCCACAUUCACCCAACCGACCCCGAUGCUGCCCCGACUCACAUCUCAACGACGCUCGACUCCAAAUAGGAAGAAGCGCUCAACCAGCUCCUCCGUGAGAACUGGGACAUCUUCGCAUGGAAACCCUCUGACAUGCCUGGAGUUCCCAGGGGGCUGGCUGAGCACCGUCUACGAGUCGACCCAAAAUUCAAGCCUGUGAAGGAACAUCUUCGACGAUCCGCCCUCCAGAAGAAGCAAGCCAUUGGCGAGGAGGUGGCUCGGCUCUUAGCAGCAGAGUUCAUCUGAGAAAUUUACCACUCCGAGUGGCUCGCCAAUGUCGUCAUGGUCCCCAAGAAAGACAAGUCACUUCGCAUGUGCAUUGAUUUCAAACAUAUCAAUCGGGCCUGCCCGAAAGAUCAUUUUCCUCUCCCUCGCAUCGACCAAAUAGUUGACUCAACUGCGGGAUGCGAGAGGUUGUCUUUUCUAGAUGCUUAUUCCGGGUACCAUCAGAUCCGUCUAUAUGGACCCGACGAAAUCAAAACAGCCUUCAUCACCCCAUUCAGAUGCUUCUGUUAUGUCACCAUGCCGUUCGGCCUCAAGAACGCCGGAGCCACAUUCAUGAGAAUGAUUCAGAAGUGUUUACUCACUCAAAUCAGUCGGAAUGUGGAGGCAUACAUGGAUGAUAUUGUGGUCAAGUCACGCAAAGGUUCCGAUCUGCGAGAUGACCUUGACGAAACCUUUGCCAACCUCAGGAGGUAUGAUAUCAAGCUCAAUCCAUCAAAGUGCACAUUCGGAGUUCCAGGUGGAAAGUUACUCGGUUUUCUCGUUUCCGAAUAGGGGAUCGACGCCAAUCCUGAAAAAAUUGGCACCAUACUCCGGAUGAAGCGUCCCAUUCGUGUGCACGAUGUCCAAAAGCUUACGGGCUGCUUGGCCGCCCUAAGUCGAUUCAUUUCUCGUCUCGGUGAAAAGGCGUUGCCCCUUUACCGACUGAUGAAGAAGUCUGACAAGUUCAAGUGGACUCCAGAAGCUGAUGCAGCAUUUGCAGAGCUCAAAGCUCUGCUCUCCACCCAGCCGGUGCUUGCUGCCCCAAUCAGAAAAGAGCCUCUGCUGCUUUACAUUGCAACCACAGGCAAGUUGUCAGCACAGUACUUACGGUCGAGCGGGAAGAAGAAGGAAAGGCCUUUAGAGUUCAGCACCCAGUCUAUUAUGUGUCUGAAGUUUUGACACCUUCAAAACAAAGAUACCCUCACUACCAGAAGCUUGUAUAUGGGAUUUAUAUGACCACCAAGAAGGUUGCACAUUACUUCUCUGACCACUCCAUUACAGUUGUCAGCGACGCCCCACUGUCAGAGAUUCUGCAUAAUAGAGAUGCAACUGGUCGAGUGGCCAAGUGGGCGAUUGAACUCCUUCCCUUAGAUAUCAAGUUUGAAGCAAAGAAGGCUAUCAAGUCCCAAGCAAUCACAGAUUUCAUCGCCGAGUGGAUUGAACAACAACUUCCGACUCAAGUUCACUCGGAGCACUGGACCAUGUUCUUCGAUGGAUCUAAGAUGCUGAAUGGUUCCGGUGCUGGGGUAGUUCUAGUCUCCCCCCGAGGAGAUAAGCUCAGAUAUGUUCUCCAGAUUCACUUCGAUUCCUCCAACAAUGAAGUAGAGUAUGAAGCACUUUUAUAUGGAUUGCGCAUGGCCAUUUCACUCGGCGUCCGUCGCCUCAUGGUCUAUGGCGACUCAGAUUUGGUGGUUAAUCAGGUGAUGAAGGAGUGGGACGUCAGAAGUCCAGCUAUGACUGGUUAUUGCAAUGCAGUGAGAAAGCUAGAAAAGAAAUUCGAGGGGUUAGAGCUUCAUCACAUCCCCCGACUGAAAAAUCAAGCAGCUGAUGAUCUGGCAAAGAUAGGCUCCAAGAGAGAAGCCAUUCCCAGCAAUGUGUUUUUGGAGCACAUUCGCUCGCUGUCAGUCCAGGAGGAUCCUUUCACAGAAGAAGCCCCACAACCGAAAAGUGCCACAGAUCCGACUGAAGUCGAAGUUCCUGCUGUGGUCGACCUAAUCAUGGAAGUCUUGGCAAUCACUCCCGACUGGACAAUACCGUACAUCGCGUAUAUCCUAAGGAAAGAUCUCCCAGAAGACGAGGAAGAGGCUCGACAGAUCGUCCGCCGAUCCAAGGCCUUCACAGUCAUAAAGGGGAAGUUGUAUAGAGAAAGCCCGACUGGAAUCGGUCAGAAGUGCAUAACACCAGAAGAAGGUCGGAUAAUCCUUGAUGAUAUCCACUCGGGGACCUGUGGCCACCAUGCGUCCUCUCAGACCAUUGUGGCUAAAGCAUACCGAGCGGGAUUUUACUGGCCUAGAGCAAAUGAGAUGGCAAAAGAGAUAGUCGACAAGUGUGGAGGCUGCCAGUUCUACUCCAACAUGUCACACAAGCCUGCAUCAGCCCUGAAGACCAUUCCACUCGUCUGGCCCUUUGCUGUCUGGGGACUGGACAUGGUUGGUCCACUGAGAACAGGCAGGAGCGGAUUCACGCAUGUGCUUGUGGCAGUCGACAAGUUCACCAAAUGGAUUGAAGCCAAGCCUAUCAAGAACCUCGAUGCUGGCACUGCUAUCAGUUUCGUCAGAGGACUAACAUUCAGAUAUGGAGUCCCUCAUAGCAUCAUCACUGACAAUGGGUCAAACUUCGAUUCAGACCAGUUCAGAGCUUUUUGCGCCUCUCAAGGCACACGAGUCGACUACGCGUCGGUCGCGCAUCCUCAGUCGAAUGGACAAGCUGAAAGAGCAAAUGGUUUGAUUCUCAAAGGACUGAAGCCUCGGCUGAUGCGUGAUCUCAAGCACGCGGCAGGUGCUUGGGUCGACGAGCUUCCGUCAGUUCUGUGGGGAUUGAGGACCACCCCUAACCGGUCGACUGGAAGAACUCCAUUCUUUCUGGUUUAUGGAGCCGAAGCGGUUCUGCCAAGUGAUCUUCUUCACAACGCGCCCUGAGUCGAGCUUUACACCGAAGAUGAAGCAGAACAGGCCCGGCAUGACGCAGUCGACCUCCUAGAAGAAGAGAGGGAGAUGGCCAUGACCAGAUCGACCAUUUAUCAGCAAGACUUGCGUCGAUUCCACGCCCGGAAUGUGAAGAGUCGAGCCUUCCAAGAAGGAGAUUUGGUCCUCCGAGUGGAUCAACAGAAACCACACAAGCUUGCUCCUACUUGGGAAGGCCCCUUCAUCAUCACCAGAGUCCUCCACAAUGGAGCGUAUCACCUCUACAAUAUUGAUCGCUAGGUCGACGAGCCUCGAGCUUGGAAUGCGGAACUACUCCGCCCCUUUUACACUUGAGCUCUCCCUUGGACGAGAUGUAAUAAGAAAAAUUCUUGCAGUUCGUUUUUAUCAAAGGCAAGAGUGUUCCAUUAAUUGUUAUCACUUUUGUUUUCAUACGGAAUCCCCCAGUGGGUGACUUAGCUGCGAAUCCGUUUGCCUAAGUUUGAAAAAAUCCUACCGAGUGGAGAGCGAUCCUCCCACUCGGAGGCUUAGCUGCAGUCCAGCACUCGCCUAAGUUCUCUCACCUAGAGACUUAGCUGCAGUCCGGCACUCGCCUAAGUUUGAAAAAAUCCUACCGAGUGGAGAGCAAACCUCCCACUCGGAGGCUUGGCUGCAGCCCAGUGCUCGCCUAAGUGUUUAAAAUCCUACCGAGUGGAGAGCGAUCCUCCCACUCGGAGGCUUACCUGCAGUCCAGCACUCGCCUAAGUUCUCUCACCUAGAGACUUAGCUGCAGUCCGGCACUCGCCUAAGUUUGAAAAAAUCCUACCGAGUGGAGAGCAAACCUCCCACUCGGAGGCUUAGCUGCAGCCCAGUGCUCGCCUAAGUGUUUAAAAUCCUACCGAGUGGAGAGCNNNNNNNNNNNNNNNNNNNNNNNNNNNNNNNNNNNNNNNNNNNNNNNNNNNNNNNNNNNNNNNNNNNNNNNNNNNNNNNNNNNNNNNNNNNNNNNNNNNNNNNNNNNNNNNNNNNNNNNNNNNNNNNNNNNNNNNNNNNNNNNNNNNNNGGCACUCGCCUAAGUUUGAAAAAAUCCUACCGAGUGGAGAGCGAUCCUCCCACUCGGGGGCUUAGCUGCAGUCCAGCACUCGCCUAAGUUCUCUCGCCUAGAGACUUAGCUGCAGUCCGGCACUCGCCUAAGUUUGAAAAAAUCCUACCGAGUGGAGAGAGAUCCUCCCACUCGGGGGCUUAGCUGCAGUCCAGCACUCGCCUAAGUUCUCUCGCCUAGAGACUUAGCUGAAGUCCGGCACUCGCCUAAGUUUGAAAAAAUCCUACCGAGUGGAGAGCAAACCUCCCACUCGGGGGCUUAGCUGCAGCCCAGUGCUCGCCUAAGUGUUUAAAAAUCCUACCGAGUGGAGAGNNNNNNNNNNNNNNNNNNNNNNNNNNNNNNNNNNNNNNNNNNNNNNNNNNNNNNNNNNNNNNNNNNNNNNNNNNNNNNNNNNNNNNNNNNNNNNNNNNNNNNNNNNNNNNNNNNNNNNNNNNNNNNNNNNNNNNNNNNNNNNNNNNNNNNNNNNNNNNNNNNNNNNNNNNNNNNNNNNNNNNNNNNNNNNNNNNNNNNNNNNNNNNNNNNNNNNNNNNNNNNNNNNNNNNNNNNNNNNNNNNNNNNNNNNNNNNNNNNNNNUUAGCUGCAGUCCAGCACUCGCCUAAGUUCUCUCGCCUAGAGACUUAGCUGCAGUCCGGCACUCGCCUAAGUUUGAAAAAAUCCUACCGAGUGGAGACCAAACCUCCCACUCGGGGGCUUAGCUGCAGCCCAGUGCUCACCUAAGUGUUUAAAAAUCCUACCGAGUGGAGAGCAAACCUCCCACUCGGGGGCUUAGCUGCAGCCCAGUGCUCGCCUAAGUGUUUAAAAAUCCUACCGAGUGGAGAGCAAACCUCCCACUCGGGGGAUUAGCUGCAGCCCAGUGCUCGCCUAAGUGUUUAAAAAUCCUACCGAGUGGAGAGUAAACCUCUCACUCGGAGGCUUAGCUACAGCCCAGUGCUCGCCUAAGUACAAGACUCGACCUAAUCCGCGAGUCGACCGCUACCUUCUCCCUCGGUGCUGCGUCGCAAAUACAAGAUUAUUCCGAGUGAAGAUCAAGUUCCACUCGACGAAUCAAACAGUGAAGAUAUCCAACGAGAAAUCAAGUUCAGAAAAAGCCCAGAAGGUCCCAGACCUCAAAGUACUCGGGCCCUCGACUUGGCGAGUUUAAACGGUUACAAAUCCACUCGGCAUCCCGAGGUAAAUUCAAAGUUUUUCACUCCUCGGGAGGAGGACUAGAAGGGGCGACGAACUCAUCCAAGUCGAUCCCGUCGGCAAUGCGGGUGGCAGCAGCGAUGAAGGUCUCCAUGAAGUCUUGAAAGCUGUGCUUCCUGGUAUUGGCAACUUGGAUGGCCGCCAACUUUUCUUAUCGCGCCUCCUUGCAAUGGACGCGGACCAGAGACAGAGCGACAUCAGCACCACAUCUAGCAGAAUAUUUCUUCCAUUCCGCCACUCGACCUGGGACUUUGUUAAGUCGAGCCAUCAGAGACUCGAGGUCGUUCUGAAGCGUCGUCCCAGGGCAGAGUGAUGUGUCGAUCCGCGACAUUGCAACUUUCAGCCGAUCCAGAUAAUCAACGAUGCUGGUAACACGAGACUCCAGUCGGAGCACGUUCAUGGCAGCCUCGUCCUUCACAAGAGAGUUAACAGGGUCCAAGCUUGGCCACACUUGACUGGUCUCCUCUUCAAAGUUCUGACAGAAUUCUGCAAACACGAUUCAAGAGUAAGACAGUGGCCCUACGCAGGCUUGGCAAACUGCAAGACAUUCGGGGCAGAGUAAUUACCUUCGAGCAUGACGAACAGCUUCUUGGCAAGUCCACCGAGAUAAACCUCCAGGUCUUUUACCUUCCCCGCCAGCUCACCCGCCUUGUCGUGCAGAGCCAUCUUCUCCUUCUUCAGUCGACUGGCAUCUCGAUUAGCUGUCUCGAGAGCGGUUUUCAGUCUGGAGUUCUCCUGUUCAAGAGCUCUGACCGAAGCCAAUUUCUCCUCUACAAGCUUCGUUUUGCUCGAGGCCUCCUUCUGUGCCUCUGCAAGGUCUUGGUCCUUCUUCCUCAGAGCUUCCUCUAGUUUAUCUGUGGUGCGUCGAGUGGAACCAACAUCAAGAAUGGACAAGAAAGAAAAACCACCUGUUAAGAAUAGAGAACCUCACAAGCCAUACCUUUUGCUUCUUCUUGCGCCUUCCUCAAAUUCUCCUGAGCAAGCUUCAAGUUAAGGUUGAGCUGGAUCUGCUGAUUCUCCAACUCAGUAUAGCGAGCUACAAGUUCGCAAGAUUUCUGUAAAAAGGAAAAUCAGUCGACAGGCGUCCAAGAUAAGUUGCUUCCGAGUAACUAAGAGACAAUGAUGACGUUUCUAAAGACCACAGCCGAAUCAAAAACAUUUGACAGUAGUCUCGGGGACUACACCCAGUGGGUGCACUCAGCGUGCCCCCACUGGUUCGACCAAAAAAAAAAGUCGACUGCCCGCAGUCGACCGGAUACAAUUCCACUCGAUCUGGCCCGACCAAACCGAGUGAAGAAAUACAUCUACAGCAACACAAUGUAAAGACUACAGUCGACUGCCAGCAGUCCACCGUAGUCUCGGGGACUACACCCAGUGGGUGCACUUAGCGUGCCCCCACUCGUCCAAGAAUUGGAAGACACACCCAGUGGGUGUACAGAUGCAGAUACAAAAGAUCUCGGAAAAGAGACUCUUCAAACAGCAUAUCAUAACAGACCAAGUGUUGAGUCGACUGACCUGGACGUUGCUCUGAAGAGCCGAACUCGCGUCAUAGGCUGCUUGGCUGGCCUCCCGAUCCAUCUUCACUUGCUCCAUCAUGAUCCCUGCCUGGCGUAUAGCCUCCUUUGCAGCAGCCGCUUGGUCCUUAGGGACGGGGUAUGUGGCAAAAAGCGAAGACGGAUCCGCAGUCGACGACGAGGGCCGCGCACUCGCCAGAGGAACGGCGAAGGUCACUGAAGCCCGAGUGGUGUCACCACCAUCCCGAGCCUCGGCCUCGGACGCCGGAGCGGAUUGGGGGGUCUUGUUAGCCGACGCCCUCUUGUGCCUCCUCACUCUCAAUGGACCGUUGUCAUCGUCAUCCGGGAGGUCGAUAACAUGAGGAGGGGCUACAAAGGAAAAGUUCAAUCGACCAGCGUUGCAGCAAAUGACCAGUCGACUCAAUACAGAAUGUCAGUAAUCGUACCAGGGUUGGAGGUAGCAGCAUCCUCCAUCUCUUGGUCGUCACCCUUGGCGGAGACCUCAGAAGUAGCAGCACUGCAAAACUCGAAAGUCAGUCGGUUGGCUCAAUGGAUCGACCAAGGAUCUGUCCAUGGUCGAUGAAGGAAAACAAGUUUUAUUAUUACCCGGAGAUGGUAGGAACAGCUAUCUUCAUCUUGGGCAGAGCCUUGGGCGGCUUGGAUGGCGUCGCUCGUGGAUGCUUGGGAGCCUUCCCAGUCGGCGGAGGAGAAGAAGUCCGAGGGCGUUUCGACGACUGCCCAACAGGAGCAGUCGCCUUGCCACGUUCCCGCGCUGGAUCGUGGGUGAGCUUGGAUCGCCCCUCCGGGCGGGGGGUUCAACCUCCUCCUCCUCCCCUUCGCUGGAGAAGAUGUCGUCGCCUCCCUCUCCCUCACCGUCGGACUCCCACUCGCCUUGGUCGUCCCCGCUCUCACCUCCGCUCGCCUCCCCUUCCUCAGUCGACCCCUGUGCCCCGUUGGGCGUCGAGUACAUCUUGGUGGUCGCCUGGAAAACAACAGACAAGACGAAAGUCAAUCGACUUAUUCAAAGAAGACCAAUACAGAAGACAAGAUAUCAGUCGGGAGCACCAAGACAUACCUGGUCCACCUCAUACGAGUUGUCGAGUGGGAUUACCCUCCUGGCUCCUCGGGGGUUGUCUUUGUUCCCCGUGAUGCUCGACAGCCACCCCUCCACCAUCUCGUCGGUGACCUCCUCCGGGUGGACCCGAGUGGUGUCGUCAAGACCCGAAUACAGCCACAUCGGGUGGUCGCGGGCCUGGAGCGGUUGGAUGCGCCUUUGAAGGAAGACCUCCAGCAGGUCCAUACCAGUCACGCCCUCGCGGACAAGCUCAACCACUCGACUUGCCAGCACCUUGACUUGGGCCUUUUCCUCCGGCGCGACUUUCAGAGAGGCAGGCUUCUCGGCUCGGUCGAGUGAAAAAAGUGGAAGACCAGUCAACUGUCCUAGGGUCGCCUCGUCCUUGCAGUAGAACCAGGUCGACUGCCAGCCACGGACCGACUCCGGGAAGGUGAUAGAUGGAAAACAACUCUUCCCCCUCGUCUGGAUCGCCAGGCCCCCGCAUAGCUGGAUCACCUGCGUCCUCUCGUCACUCGACUUAGCCUUCUUGACCGAUUGAGAACGGCAGGUAAAGAUGUGUUUGAAGAGUCCCCAAUGAGGUCGACAACCCAAGAAAGCCUCACACAUAGAGAUGAAAGCAGCAAGGUAGACAAUGGAGUUGGGAGUGAAGUGGUGGAGCUGCGCUCCAAAGAAAUUCAGGAAACUCCGGAAGAAAGGAUGGGGCGGCAGAGAAAACCCUCGGUCGAUGUGGGUGGCUAGGAGCACGCACUCACCGUCGCGGGGUUGAGGUUCGAUCUCUCCCCCCGGAAGACGCGCAGCUUCAUGGGGAAUGACUCCCCCCUCGACCAUGUCGUCGAGAUCCUCUUGCCGGAGCACCGAUGGCAUCCAGUCGCCCUGGAUCCAACCUUUGGGCAGAGCGGUCCUGGAGGAGGAUCCGCCCCGAGCAGACCUCUUCCCUUUCCCCGCCGCCGCCGCCUUCUUCGCGCGCUCUAGAGCGGAGGUCUUGCUCUUCGUCAUCGUCGCCGGCGAAGUCUCACACGGGCCUGCUACGCUGGGGCGAGAACGGAGGUGGCGGAAGGACUUGCGAAGGGGGAGAGGCGGAAGAAAGGAGGAGAAGAGAGUGCACUGCUUGAAAACCCCGAGCCAGCGAUUUAUAAGGGACCGCUUCCGAGUGGCUGACUGGUAGGCCCAGGCCAUCCAGUCAAAUCCCGCAGCAGACGCGCGCGCAGUACAUGGCGAAAAAGGCGACGCGGGGAUCGAGGAGCUUCCGCUUUAUCGCUUCCGAUUACUGCGGCCGCUCCCGUCCCGCGUGCUUCCCAAAAUCCGAAUCCCGCGACAUCCGUGGGCCGCAGAACACCUUGUCAAAACAGAAGACCCCGAUCGCGCCGGCGCUCGGUAUGUCACAAACAAAGAAAUUCACUCGACGAAAGGCCUGGAAUGGAUCAAGGCGACUGAAAAAGGUUGGCAACGUCAUCCAUGACGAUUGACCCAAAACGAGGCGCUCACAUAGCCCGAAGAACCAGUCGGAAAGAUCUCCAACUCUUUCCCCACUCUAACCUCGAUCCAUUCGGGGGCUAACGAUGAAGACAUGUACCUAGGGUAGGGACACGGACCUGACCAAAGAGUCCUACCCUAGGACACCCCUAGAAGAAGUCACCUUUCAAUCGACUUGAAGGUAUCCCACUCGACGGGUUCAAGACACUCGACCAAGAAGCUAUCACUCGACCAUGAAGCCAACCACUCGACUGCCAGGAGACCUAAAGUCACUCCGCAGGCAAACGAUCGGCUGUUAAGUAGUCUUUAUGAUCAUUAUAGCACUUUAUUAGGGGCGUUACCAGUAACGCCCAACCUUAAAUGUACCUUAAACCCUGCAUUACUGAGGGCAGGAGGGGGCCGGCGAACUCUAUAUAAGCCACCCCCCUCCUCGGUAUGGAGGGUUCGCACCCCUGUAAUCCAUACACGCAUAAUCCAGUCGACCGCCUCCGGGCUCCGAGACGUAGGGCUAUUACUUCCUCUGAGAAGGGCCUGAACUCGUAAACCUCGUGUAUAACAACUUCCCAAUAGCUAAGAUCUAGCCUCUCCAUAUUCACCCCCCUACAUCACUGUCAGAGUUAGAACCACGACAAACAGUUCUGUCAGUGAACACAUACUCAGAAUGUCUGGGUACCAUAACUACUUGACUCAACUGGGAGUUAAUCUUCCUGAUGAUAGUGUAAUUGAUAGAGUUCAUCAAUCACUACCACCAAGCUAUAAAGGCUUCGUGAUGAACUAUAACAUGCAAGGGAUGGAAAAGACAAUUCCCGAGCUCUUCGUGAUGCUAAAGGCUGUGGAGAUAGAAAUCAAGAAGCAGCAUUAAGUGUUGAUGGUUAACAAGACCACUAGUUUCAAGAAAAAAGGCAAAGGGAAGAAGGGGAACUUCAAGAAGAAUAGCAAGCAAGUUGCUGCUCCCGGGAAGAAGCCCAAGUCUGGACCUAAGCCUGAAACUGAGUACUUCUACUGCAAAGGCACUGGUCACUGGAAGCGGAACUGCGCUCAUAUUUGCAACUCGAAACAGGGGCUACGGAUUAAUCGAAGAUUGGCUAAGGAUGAGGUGACGAUGCGCGUCGGAAAUGGUUCCAAGGUUGAUGUGAUCGCCAUCGGCACGCUACCUCUACAUCUACCUUCAGGAUUAGUUUUUGACCUGAAUAAUUGUUAUUUGGUGCCAGCAUUGAGCAUGAACACUAUAUCUGGAUCUUGGUUGAUGCGAGACGGUUAUUCACUUAAAUAAGAGAACAAUGGUUGUUCUAUUUAUGUGAAUAAUAUCUUUUAUGGUCAUGCACCCUUGAUGAGUGGUCUAUUUUUGUUGAAUCUCGAUCGUAGUGAUACACAUAUUCAUAAUAUUGAAUCCAAAAGAUGCAAAGUUAAUGAUGAUAGUGCAACUUAUUUGUGGCACUGCCGUUUAUGUCAUAUUGGUGUAAAGCUCAUGAAGAAACUCCAUGUUGAUGGAGUUUUGGAAUCACUUGAUUAUGAAUCACUUGAUACUUGCGAACCAUGCCUCAUGGGCAAGAUGACUAAGACUCCGUUCUCCAAAACAAUGGAGCGAGCCACUGACUUAUUGGAAAUAAUACACACCGAUGUAUGCGGUCCGAUAGUGUUGAGGAUCGCGACGGGUAUCGUUAUUUUCUAACCUUCACAGAUGAUUUGAGCAGAUAUGGGUAUAUCUACUUAAUGAAACAUAAGUCUGAAACAUUUGAAAAGUUCAAAGAAUUAUAGAGUGAAGUAGAAAAUCAUCAUAACAAGAAAAUAAAAUUUCUACAAUCUGAUCGUGGAGGUGAAUAUUUGAGUUAUGAGUUUGGUCUUCAUUUGACACAAUGUGGAAUAGUUUCGCAACUCACGCCACCUGGAACACCACAGUGUAAUGGUGUGUCCGAACGUCGUAACCGUACUUUAUUAGAUAUGGUGCGAUCUAUGAUGCCUCUUACCGAUUUACCACUAUCGUUUCGGGGUUAUGCUUUAGAGACAGAUGCAUUCACAUUAAAUAGGGCACCAUCUAAAUCCGUUGAGAUGACACCAUAUGAACUGUGGUUUAGCAAGAAACCUAAGCUGUCGUUUCUUAAAGUUUGGGGUUGCGAUGCUUAUCUGAAAAAGCUUCAACCUGAUAAGCUCGAAACCAAAUCGGAGAAAUGCGUCUUCAUAUGAUACCCAAAGGAAACUAUUGGGUACACCUUCUAUCACAGAUCCGAAUGCAAGAUAUUUGUUGCUAAGAAUGGAUCCUUUCUAGAGAAGGAGUUUCUCUCGAAAGAAGUGAGUGGGAGGAAAGUAGAACUUGAUGCGGUAUUUGUACAUUCUCCCGAAUUGGAAAGUAGUUCAUCACAGAAAUCAGUUCCAGUGAUUCCUACACCAAUUAGUGAGGAAGCUAAUGAUGAUGAUCAUGAAACUUCAGAUCAGGUUACUACCGAACCUCGUAGGUCAACCAGAGUACGAUCCGCACCGAAGUGGUACAGUAAUCAUGUUUUGGAAGUCAUGUUACUGGACCAUGACGAAACUACGAACUAUGAGGAAGCGAUGAUGAGCCUAGAUUCUGCGAAAUGGCUUGAGGCCAUGAAAUCUGAGAUGGGAUCCAUGUAUGAGAAUAAAGUGUGGACUUUGGUUGACUUGCCCGAUGAUUGGAAAGCCAUAGAGAAUAAAUGGAUCUUGAAGAAGAAGACUGACGUUGACGGUAAUGUUACUGUCUACAAAGCUCGAGUUGUUGCGAAAGGUUUUCGACAAGUUCAAGGAAUUGACUAUGAUGAGACCUUCUCACCCGUAGCGAUGCUUAAGUCUAUCUGAAUCAUGUUAGAAAUUGCCACAUUUUAUGAUUAUGAAAUUUGGCAAAUGGAUGUCAAAACUGCAUUCCUUAAUGGAUUUCUUAAAGAAGAGUUGUAUAAGAUGCAACCAGAAGGUUUUGUCGAUCCUAAAGGUGCUAACAAAAUGUGCAAGCUCCAGCGAUCCAUUUAUGGACUGGUGCAAGCCUCUCGGAGUUGGAAUAUACGCUUUGAUAGUGUGAUCAAAGCAUAUAGUUUUAUAUAGACUUUUGGAGAAGCUGUAUUUACAAGAAUGUAAGUGCGAGCUCUGUAGCAUUUCUAAUAUUAUAUGUGGAUGACAUAUUGUUGAUUGGAAAUAAUACAGAAUUUCUGGAUAGCAUAAAAGGAUACUUGAAUAAGAAUUUUUCAAUGAAAGACCUCGAUGAAGCUGCUUAUAUAUUGGGCAUCAAGAUCUAUAGAGAUAGAUCAAGACGCUUAAUUGGACUUUCACAAAGCACAUACCUUGAUAAAGUUUUGGAGAAGUUCAAAAUGGAUCAGUCAAAGAAAGGGUUCUUUCCUGUGUUUCAAGGUGUGAAGUUGAGUCAAACUCAAUGCCCGACCACUGCAGAAGAUAGAGAGAAAAUGAAAGUCAUUCCCUAUGCUUCAUCCAUAUGUUCUAUCAUGUAUGCAAUGUUGUGUACCAGACCUGAUGUGUGCCUUGCUAUAAGUUUAGCAGAGAGGUACCAAAGUAAUCCAGGAGUGGAUCACUGGACAACAGUUAAGAACAUCCUAAAAUACCUGAAAAGGACUAAGGAUAUGUUUCUCGUUUAUGGAGGUGACAAAGAGCUUGUUGUAAAUGGUUACAUCGAUGCAAGCUUUGACACUGAUCCGGAUAAAAAUAAAAUUGGGUUGCCUCCCAACAAGCGCUAUCGUUUAACACCCCUAGCUAGGCAUAAAAAGCAAGGAUAGAUCUAGGUAUUGCCAUCUUUGGUAGGCAAUCCAUAAGUGGCUCUCAUAAUAGAUUCAUAAGGUAAUUUAAUUUUAUUUCUAGGAAAGCGUUCCAUGCCUUUCCUUAAUGGAAAUUGGAAUCUAAUAUUUCCUUCCUUCAUAUCAAUAAUUGCACCAAUCGUUCUAAGGAAAGGUCUACCAAGAAUAAUAGGACAUGAAGGAUUUCAAUCUAUGUGAAGAACAAUAAAAUCUAUGGGUACAUAAUUCCUAUUUUCAACAAUAAAAACAUCAUUAAUUCUUCCCAUAGGUUUUUUAAUAGUGGAUUCCGCAAGGUGCAAGUUUAGAGAACAAUCAUCAAAUUCACGGGAACCUAACAAAUCACACAAAGUCUUUGGAAUCGUGGAAACACUAGCACCCAAAUCACAUAAAGCAUAAAACUCAUGAUAUUUAAUUUUAUUUUUAAUAGUUGGUUCCCACUCAUCAUAAAGUUUUCUAGGGAUAGAAACUUCCAAUUCAAGUUUUUCUUCAUAAGAUUGCAUCAAGGCAUCAACGAUAUGUUUAGUGAACGCUUUAUUUUGACUAUAAGCGUGAGGAGAAUUUAGCACGGAUUGCAACAAGGAAAUACAAUUAAUCAAAGAGCAAUUUUCAUAAUUAAAUUCCCUAAAAUCCAAAAUAGUGGGUUUAGCAACAUCUAGGGUUUUAAUUUCUUCAAUCCCACUUUUAUCAAUUUUAGCAUCAAGAUCUAAAAACUCCGAAUUCUUGGAACGUCUUCUAGGUAAAGGUGGAUCAUAUUCAGUCCCAUCAUUAUCAAGAUUCAUAUUGCAAAACAAAGAUUUAAUAGGGGACACAUCUAUAACUUUUAGAUCUUCAUCUUUAUUUUCAUAGGAACUAGAAGAACACGCUCUUAUAAAGGCAUCUUUCUUAGCACGCAUCCUGGCGAUUCUUUCUUUGCACUCAUCAAUGGAAAUUCUCGUGCCUUUGAGAGUUUCAUUGAUAUCAUGCUUAGGUGUAAUAGAUCUAAGUUUCAAAGAAUCAGCAUCAAGAGAAAUUCUAUCAACGUUCCUAGCCAACUCAUCAAUCUUAAGCAAUUUUUCUUCAAUCAAAGCAUUGAAAUUCUUUUGCGAAAUAAUAAAUUCUUUAAUAUUAGAUUCAAAAUUAGAGGGCAUCUUAUUAUAAUUUCCAUAAGAAUUGUUGUAGAAAUUACCAUAAUUAUUGGAGGGAUUACUAGGAUAAGGCCUAGGAUUAAAAUUUCCUCUAUACUCGUUGUUACCAAAAUUGUUCCUACCAACAAAAUUCACAUCCAUAGAUUCAUUAUUAUUCUCAAUCAAAGUAGACAAGGGCAUAUCAUUAGGAUCAGAAGAAAUACUUUUACUAGCAAAUAAUUCCAUAAGUUCAUCCAUCUUUCCACUCAACACAUUAAUUUCUUCUAUCGCAUGCACCUUUUUAUUAGUAGAUCUUUCAGUAUGCCAUUGAGAAUAAUUAACCAUAAUAUUAUCUAGGAGUUUAGCAGCUUCUCCUAAAGCGAUUUCCAUGAAAGUGCCUCCCGCGGCCGAAUCUAAAAUAUGUCUAGAUGCAAAAUUGAAUCCAGCAUAAAAAAUUUGUAUAAUCAUCCACAAAUUCAAACCAUGAGUAGGGCAAUGACGUAUCAUUAAUUUCAUCCUCUCCCAAGAUUGUGCAACAUGUUCAUGAUCAAGUUGCUUAUAAUUCAUAAUAUCGUUUCUAAGGGAGAUGAUCUUAGCGGGAGGAAAAUACUUAGAGAUAAAAGCAUCUUUGCACUUAUUCCAUGAGUCAAUACUAUUUUUAGGCAAAGACGAAAACCAAGCUUUACCAUGAUCUUUAAGCGAAAAAGGAAAUAGCUUUAAUUUAACUAUAUCAUUAUCCACAUCUUUCUUCUUUUGCAUAUCACACAAAUCAAUGAAGCUAUUUAGAUGGGUAGCAGCAUCUUCACUAGGAAGGCCGGAAAACGGAUCUUUCAUGACAAGAUUCAGCAAAGCAGUAUUAAUUUCACAAGAUUCAGCAUCGGUAAGAGGAGCAAUCGGAGUGUGCUACCACUUGAGCACUGCAUUGGAUUUCCCCAAAGAGGAAGGGAUGAUGCAGCAAAGUAGCGUAAGUAUUUCCCUCAGUUUUUGAGAACCAAGGUAUAAAUCCAGUAGGAGGCUACGCUCGAGUCCCUCGUACCUACACAAAAACAAUAGCUCAAUGCAACCAACGCGCUUAGGGGUUGUCAAUCCCUUCACGGUCACUUACGAAAGUGAGAUCUAAUAGAGAUGAUAAGUAAUAUUUUUGGUAUUUUUGGUAUAGAUAUGAAAAGUAAAAAGUAAAAGCAAAGCAAUAAUAAAGUGAUGGAGAUUGAUAUGAUGAGAAAGAGACCCGGGGGCCAUAGGUUCCACUAGUGGCUUCUCUCAAGAGCAUAAGUAUUCUACGGUGGGUGAACAAAUUACUGUUGAGUAAUUGACAGAAUUGAGCAUAGUUAUGAGAAUAUCUAGGUAUGAUCAUGUAUAUAGGCAUCACGUCCAAGACAAGUAGACCGAAACGAUUCUGCAUCUACUACUAUUACUCCACGCAUCGACCGCUGUCCAGCAUGCAUCUAGAGUAUUAAGUUAAAAACAGAGUAACGCCUUAAGCAAGAUGACAUGAUGUAGAGGGAUAGUUUCAUGCAAUAUGAUAAAAACCCCAUCUUGUUAUCCUCGAUGGCAACGAUACAAUACGUGCCUUGCUGCCCCUUCUGUCACUGGGAAAGGACAACGCAAGAUCGAACCCAAAGCUAAGCACUUCUCCCAUGGCAAGAAAAACCAAUCUAGUAUGCCAAACCAAACUGAUAAUUCGAAGAGACUUGCAAAGAUAACCAAUCAUACAUAAAAGAAUUCAGAGAAGAUUCAAAUAUUAUUCAUAGAUAGACUUGAUCAUAAACCCACAAUUCAUCGGUCUCAACAAACACACCGCAAAAAGAAGAUUACAUCAAAUAGAUCUCCAUGAGAGAGGGGGAGAACAUUGUAUUGAGAUCCAAAAAGAGAGAAGAAGCCAUCUAGCUACUAACUAUGGACCCGUAGGUCUGAAAUAAACUACUCACACUUCAUCGGAGGGGCUUGGAUGAUGAUGUAGAAGCCCUCCGUGAUCGAUGCCCCCUCCGGCGGAGCUCCGGAACAGGCCCCAAGAUGGGAUCUCGUGGAUACAGAAAGUUGCGGCGGUGGAAUUAGGUUUUUGGCUGCAUCCCCGAUCAUUUGGGGGUACGUGGAUAUAUAUAGGAGGAAGAAGUACGUCGGUGGAGCUUCGAGGGGCCCACGAGGCAGGGGGCGCGCCCUAGGGGGGUGCCCUCCACCCUCAUGACUGCCUUGUGGAUUUCUUGACGGAGGGUCCAAGUCUCCUGGAUCUUAUCUGAUGAGAAAAUCACGUUUCCGAAGGUUUCAUUCCGUUUGGACUCCGUUUGAUAUUCCUUUUCUUUGAAACCCUAAAACAGGUAAAAACAACAAUUCUGGGCUGGGCCUCCGGUUAAUAGGUUAGUCCCAAAAAUAAUAUAAAAGUGGAUAAUAAAGCCCAAUAAUGUCUAAAAUAGUAUAUAAUAUAGCAUGGAGCAAUAAAAAAUUAUAGAUACGUUGGAGACGUAUCAAGCAUCCCCAAACUUAAUUCCUACUCGUCCUCGAGUAGGUAAAUGAUAAAAAAGAAUUUUUGAUGCGGAAUGCUACUUGGCAUAAUUUUAAUGUAAUUCUUCUUAAUUGUGGUAUGAAUAUUCAGAUCCGAAAGAUUCAAGACAAAAGUUCAUAUUGACAUAAAAAUGAUAAUACUUCAAGCAUACUAACUAAGCAAUUAUGUCUUCUCAAAAUAACAUGGCCAAAGAAAAUUCAUCCCUACAAAAUCAUAUGGUUUAGUCAUGUUUCAUUUUCGUCAGACAAGAAUGCUCUCAUCAUGCACAACCCCGAUGACAAGCCAAGCAAUUGUUUCAUACUUUAGUAAUCUCAAACCUAUAAACUUUCACGCAAUAUAUGAGCACGAGCCAUGGACAUAGCACUAUGGGUGGAAUAGAAUAUAAUGAGGGGGGUUAUGUGGAGAAGACAAAAAAGGAGAAAGUCUCACAUCAACAAGGAUAAUCAAUGGGCUAUGGAGAUGCCCACCGAUUGAUGUUAAUGCAAGGAGUAGGGAUUGCCAUGCAACGGAUGCACUAGAGAUAUAAAUGUAUGAAAGCUCAACAAAAGAAACUAGUGGAUGUGCAUCCAACUUGCUUGCUCAUGAAGACCUAGGGCACUUGAGGAGGCCCAUUGUUGGAAUAUACAAGCCAAGUUCUAUAAUGAAAAAUUCCCACUAGUAUAUGAAAGUGAUAACAUGAGAGACUCUCUACUAUGAAGAUCAUGGUGCUACUUUGAAGCACAAGUGUGAUCAAAGGAUAGUAACAUUGUCCCUUCUCUCUUUUUCUCUCAUUUUUUUGGGACUUCUCUUUUUUUAUGGCAUUUCUCUCUUUUUUUGGGGCCUUCUCUUUUUUAUGGCCUUUUUUUAUUCCUCACUUGGGACAAUGCUCUAAUAAUGAUGAUCAUCACACUUCUAUUUAUUUACAACUCAAUGAUUACAACUCGAUACUAGAACAAAGAUGACUCUAUAUGAAUGCCUCCGGCGGUGUACCGGGAUAUGCAAUGAACCAAGAGUGACAUGUAUGAAAGAAUUAUGAACGGUGGAUUUGCCACAAAUACUAUGUCAACUACAUGAUCAUGCUAAGCAAUAUGACAAUGAUGAAUGUGUCAUGAUGAACGGAAUGAUGGAAAGUUGCAUGGCAAUAUAUCUCGGAAUGGCUAUGGAAAUGCCAUAGUAGGUAGGUAUGGUGGCUGUUUUGAGGAAGAUAUAAGGAGGUUUAUGUGUGAAAGAGUGUAUCAUAUCACAGGGUUUGGAUGCACCGGCGAAGUUUGCGCCAACUCUCAAUGUGAGAAAGGGCAAUGCAUGGUACAGAAGAGGCUAGCAAGGAUGGAAGGGUGAGAGUGCGUAUAAUCCAUGGACUCAACAUUAGUCAUAAAGAACUCACAUACUUAUUGCAAAAAUCUACAAGUCAUCAAAAACCUCGGCACUACGCGCAUGCUCCUAGGGGGAUAGAUUGGUAGGAAAAGACCAUCGCUCGUCCCCGGCCGCCACUCAUAAGGAAGACAAUCAAAUAACACCUCAUGUUUAAAAUUUGUUGCAUAACGUUUACCAUACGUGCAUGCUACGGGACUUGCAAACUUCAACACAAGUAUUUCUCAAUUUCACAACUACUCAACUAGCAUGACUUUGAUAUUAUUACCUCCAUAUCUUAAAACAAUUAUCAAGCAUCAAACUUUUCUUAGUAUUCAACACACUCAUACGAAAGUUUUAUUAUUAAUCUGGCAUACCAAGCAGAUUAGGAUUUUAAGCAAAUUACCAUGCUAUUAAGACUCUCAAAAUAAUCUAAGUGAAGCAUGAGAGAUCAAUAGUUUCUAUAAAACAAAUCCACCACCGUGCUCUAAAAGAUAUAAGUGAAGCACUAGAGCAAAACUAUAAAGCUCAAAAGAUAUAAGUGAAGCACAUAGAGUAUUCUAUCAAAUUCCAAAUCAUGUAUGGCUCUCUCAAAACGUGUGUACAAUGAUGUCUACUACACAACCUUCUUCUUGUAGACGUUGUUGGGCCUCCAAGUGUAGAGGUUUGUAGGACAGUAGCAAAUUUCCCUCAAGUGGAUGACCUAAGGUUUAUCAAUCCGUAGGAGGCGUAGGAUGAAGAUGGUAUCUCUCAAGCAACCCUGCAACCAAAUAACAAAGAGUCUCUUGUGUCCCCAACACACCCAAUACAAUGGUAAAUUGUAUAGGUGCACUAGUUUGGCAAAGAGAUGGUGAUACAAGUGCAAUAUGGAUAGUAGAUAAUAGUAUUUGUAAUCUGAAAAUAUAAAAACAGCAAGGUAACAAGUGAUAAAAGUGAGCGUAAACGGUAUUGCAAUGUGUUAAAACAAGGCCUAGGGUUCAUACUUUCGCUAGUGUAAGUCCUCUCAACAAUACUAACAUAAUUUUAUCAUAAAACUAUCCCUCAACAUGCAACAAAGAGUCACUCCAAAGUCACUAAUAGCGGAGAACGAACGAAGAGAUUAUGGUAGGGUACGAAACCACCUCAAAGUUAUUCUUUCCAAUCAAUCCGUUGGGCUAUUUCUAUAAGUGUCACAAACAGCCCUAGAGUUCGUACUAGAAUAACACCUUAAGUAACAAAUAAACCAAAACCCUAAUGUCACCUAGAUACUCCAAUAUCACCUCAAGUAUCCGUGGGUAUGAUUAUACGAUAUGCAUCACACAAUCUUAGAUUCAUCUAUUCAACCAACACAAAGGACCUCAAAGAGUGCCCAAAAGUUUCUACCGGAGAAUCACGACGAAAAUGUGUGCCAACCCCUAUGCAUAGGUUCCCAAUGUCACGAAACCCGCAAGUUGGUCACCAAAACAUACAUCAAGUGGCACGUGGUAUCCCAUUGUCACCAUAGAUAUCCACGGCAAGACAUACAUCAAGUGUUCUCAAGUCUUUAAAAACUCAAUCCGAUAAGAUUACUUCAAAGGGGAAACUCGAUUCAUUACAAGAGAGAAGAGGGGGGAAGAAACAUCAUAGGAUCCAAAUAUAAUAGCAAAGCUCGUGAUACAUCAAGAUCGUAUCAUCUCAAGAACAUGAGAGAGAGAGAGAUCAAACACAUAGCUACUGGUACAUACCCUCAGCCCCGAGGGAGAACUACUCCCUCCUCAUCAUGGAGAGCACCGGGAUGAUGAAGAUGGCCACCGGAGAAGGAUUGCCCCUGAAUGGGUGUAGAUUGGUUUUCGGUGGCUACGGAGGCUUCUGGCGGCGGAACUCCCGAUCUAUUGUUGCGUUCUGGAAGUUUUAGGUCACGUAGGUAUAUAUGGGUGCAGGAGGUACGUCAGGGGAGCCACGAGGGCCCCACGAGACAGGGGGCGUGCCCUAGGGGGGUGGGGGCGCCCCCACCCUCGUGAGCACCUCGUUCCUUCCUUAACAUGGGGUCCAAGUCCAUCAGGUGUGUUUCCUUCCAAAAAUAACUUCUCUAGUUGAUUUCGUUCCGUUUCGACUCUGUCUGAUAUUCAUUUUCUUCAAAACACUGAAAUAGGCAUAAAACAACAAAUCUAGGCUGGGCCUCCGGUUAAUAGGUUAGUCCCAAAAAUAAUAUAAAUGUGGAUAAUAAAGCCCAAUAUUGCCCAAAACAGUAGAUAAUAUAGCAUGGAGCAAUCAAAAAUUAUAGAUACCUUGGGGACGUAUCAAGCAUCCCCAAGCUUAAUUCCUGCUUGUCCUCGAGUAGGUAAAUGAUAAAAAGAGAAUUUUUGAUGCGGAGUGCUACUUGGCAUAAUUUCAAUGCAAAUCUUCUUAAUUGUGGUAUGAAUAUUCAGAUUAGAAAGAUUCAAGACAAAAGUUUAUAUUGACAUAGAAAAUAAUAAUACUUCAAGCAUACUAAUAAAGCAAUUAUGUCUUCUCAAAAUAACAUGCCCAAAGAAAGCUAUCCCUACAAAAUCAUAUAGUCUGGCUAUGCUCCAUCUUCACCACACAAAAUAUUUAAAUCAUGCACAACCCCGAUGACAAGCCAAGCAAUUGUUUCAUACUUUUGAUGUCCUCAAACUUUUUCAAUCUUCACGCAAUACAAGAGCGUGAGCCAUGGACAUAGCACUAUAGGUGGAAUAGAAUGGUGGUUGUGGAGAAGACAAAAAGGGAGAAGAUAGUCUCACAUCGACUAGGCGUAUCAACGGGCUAUGGAGAUGCCCAUCAAUAGAUAUCAAUAUGAGUGAGUAGGGAUUGCCAUUCAACAGAUGCACUAGAGCUAUAAGUGUAUGAAAGCUCAAAAAGAAACUAAGUGGGUGUGCAUCCAACUCGCUUGCUCAUGAAGACCUAGGGCACUUGAGGAGGCCCAUCAUUGGAAUAUACAAGCCAAGUUCUAUAAUGUAAAAUUCCCACUAGUAUAUGAAAGUGACAACAUAUGAGACUCUCUAUAUGAAGAACAUGGUGCUACUUUGGAGCACAAUAUAUGAGACUCGCUAUAUCAUGGUGCUACUUUGAAGCACAAGUGUGGAAAAAGGAUAGUAGCAUUGCCCCUUUUUAUUUAUUUAUAUUUUUUGGGCCUUCUUUUUUUUUUGUUUGGCCUUUUUUUGGGACAAUGCUCUAUUGAAUGAUGAUCAUCACACUUCUAUUUAUUUACAACUCAAUGAUUACAACUCGAUACUAAAACAAAGUAUGACUCUAUAUGAAUGCCUCCGGCGGUGUACCGGGAUAUGCAAUGUAUCAAGAGUGACAAGUAUGAAAUAAUUAUGAAUGGUGGCUUUGCCACAAAUACUAUGUCAACUACAUGAUCAUGCUAAGCAAUAUGACAAUGAUGGAUGUGUCAUGAUGAACUAGAUGGUGGAAAGUUGCAUGGCAAUAUAUCUCAGAAUGGCUAUGGAAAUGCCAUAAUAGGUAGGUAUGGUGGCUGUUUUGAGGAAGGUAUAUGGUAGGUGUAUGAUACUGGCGAAAGGUGUGCGGUACUAGAGAGGCUAGCAAAGGUGGAAGGGUGAGAGUGCGUAUAAUCCAUGGACUCAACAUUAGUCAUAAAGAACUCAUAUACUUAUUACGAAAAUCUAUUAGUUAUCGAAACAAAGUACUACGCGCAUGCUCUAAGGGGGAUAGAUUGGUAGGAAAAGACCAUCGCUCGUCCCCGACCGCCACUCAUAAGGAAGGCAAUCAAUAAAUAAAUCAUGCUCCGACUUCAUCACAUAACGGUUCACCAUACGUGCAUGCUACGGGAAUCACAAACUUCAACACAAGUAUUUCUCAAAUUCACAACUACUCAACUAGCAUGACUCUAAUAUCACCAUCUCCAUAUCUCAAAACAAUUAUCAAGUAUCAAACUUCUCAUAGUAUUCAACACACUCGUAAGAGAAUUUUAUUAUUCUUGAAUACCUAGCAUAUUAGGAUUUUAAGAAAAUUACCAUGCUAUUUAAGAUUCUCAAAAUAAUAUAAGUGAAGCAUGAGAGUUCAUCUAUUUCUUCAAAAUAAAACUACCACCAUGCUCUAAAAGAUAUAAGUGAAGCACUAGAGCAAAUGACAAACUACUCUGAAAGAUAUAAGUGAAGAUCAAUGAGUAGUCGAAUAAUUAUGCAACUAUGUGAAGACUCUCAAACAUUUAAUAAUUUCAGAUCUUGGUAAUCUAUUCAAACAGCAAGCAAGGCAAAAUAAAAUGACAUCUAAGAAUAGCAAACAUCAUGUGAAGAAGCAAAAACUUAGGAUCAACCGAUACUAACCGAUAAUUGUUGAAGAAGAAAGGUGGGAUGCCAACCGGGGCAUCCCCAAUAUUAGAUGCUUGAGACUUCUUGAAAUAUUAUCUCGGGGUGCCUUGGGCAUCCCCAAGCUUGAGCUUUUGUGUCUCCUUAAUUCCUCUCAUAUCCCGAUCUCCCUAAAUCUCAAAAGCUUCAUCCACACAAAACUCAACAAGGACUCGUGAGAUAAGUUAGUAUAAACCAUUGCCAAAACCUUAUCAUACUCUACUGUAUCAAAUCACUAAAAUUAUUAUUCAACAUUGAAUACUAAAUGUCUCUGCAUAUUUAAUAGUCCUAUCCUCAAAUAGAAUCAUUAAAGAAGCAAACAUAUGCAAACAUAACAGCAAUCUGCCUAAACAGGAUAGUCUGUAAAGAAUGCUGCAACACCCAUACUUCCCUAGCUCCAAAAAUUAUGAAAUAAAAUUACCACUGUAGUAAAUUUAUCAGAUCUUAAUAUGCAAAAGGUUUCAACAUUUUAU